UCGAAAGAAUGUGUACAGAAGGAAUCGGUUGAAUACGAACGUUUCACCGGUGACGCGAUAUGGAAGGACAAAUUGUUUCGAGUUUCUAAUGAAAGUGGACAGUAAUUAGAGCUUGUUAUGCCUCCGUAAACAAUAGAACGGUGCAAGAAUACUCGGCCGAACGAUGUGUUGGUAGAAGAAAAAAAAUUGUUUAAAUAAAGAGGGGCACCUCACGGAAUCGCGUUUAAUUCUUUACUGAGGGGUUACGUUUGGCUUCGCACCCUCUGCACGAAAUAGGGGUAACGGGGGUGGAAGAUUGCGCAUGCGUUUCAUAGAUUCACGAAUGUUUCCGUACUGAACACACGAAAUUGUAUGUUCGGAGAGAUAUCGGUGCGUCCAGCAAGUGUAACGAGACGAAUGGAUGCGUUUCUGCAUAAGAAAGGAUCGUACUACUACGCCUAUCGUUGCAGUUAUACGGAAAUAAACGUUAGUCGGUCAAUAGGAAUAAUCGGAGGGUGCGUAAGAGUGCGAUGAAUGAAGCUUCUAAGAGGGUGAUCGACACGUACACCUAGUAGAUACGACACUUGUGACACUUGACGAAGACUUUACGGAUAUAAAUUGUCUCGCAAGCUCGAAAUUUGAAGACAUUAAUGAAUCUCAACUGGAAAAGAACGCUACUCAUAGACUAUUUUCGCAAUCAUUCGGCUUCAAGGGAAAUACAUAGUGACUGGUAGCCGAUGACUCACGAAAACUAUGACGACGGAACAUUCCAAGUAGCAUGUAAAUCAUCACGCGCACUCGUAUGUGCAUAGAUUGUCGUAAACAUAUGAAUCGCGCAACAUUUUCUUCGAGAAUAGUUUGACAUGAACCUAAUGAAAUAUGUAUAUAAAAAUAUUGAUGUAUUAACACACGGGGAUAGGUGCAUGUAUAUGUAUGUAUAGAGCGUCUCUUCCAAGUUUUAGCAACCGGCGCGCGGCGCGGCGACACGUGUAAUACGAGCCUCGCUCGUCGUUUAUCUCGCUGGCUCUCACCUCUCGGUAUAUGUAUAUACAUAUACAUUCACUUUCGUCAUUCAACUGUUGACGAGUUGCUGGAUCUCAUUGUCAUUUCGAGAUAGAGAAGUAAAGAGUUAAACAAGUUACGAAAAAUCAAGUAUAUUCUGUUCCUUUACACUUGAAAGUGUUGCCGUACCGAUAAAAACAAACCACUCGAAAUUUACGUAAUUUUAUCGAAAGUAUUUUCGAAAAAUGCAAACUACAACAAAUUACAUCAACGAUCCAUGAUUGAAAUUUCAUACAAGAUUGUUGAAAGUUCGGGAAUGUAACAAGUCCGAGUAAAUGUAGCGAAUUUUUUAGUCACAAAUGGUGUGUGAUAGCUGCAGACAAUUGAUGGUCUAUAUUUAUAAGACGCAACACAACGCUUGAAACGUUGCGCUGAUUAAGAUUCGUAUCGUGUGACGACAAUAUUCGUCUCAAGUUUCGUUUGUACCUACAUACGUAACGAAUCGUGAUAACGGUUUACCACACUGUUUGGCUAUUUUAGAUGUUUGUAACGCAAAUUCUUUAAACAUUGGAAUAAAUAUUUUCGUUUAAAUAAA
Hylaeus anthracinus is the source of this 1576-nucleotide long non-coding RNA. RefSeq lists it as uncharacterized. The transcript has 2 exons. The record is from RefSeq and is a predicted model, not a curated record. NCBI's taxonomy places the organism in Eukaryota, Metazoa, Arthropoda, Insecta, Hymenoptera, Colletidae.